GGGGGUGUCACGGUUUCGACGGGGGCGCGGAAUCACGAAUAGCGGGCGGAUGCGCCUGGCAUCCUUAAAACGGGCACUUUUUAUAAAUUAAAGAACAACGAUAACACUGUUCUUCUCGCUGCUUGAUCAGUGAGCGUCUGUUUCGGGAGUACCACGGCCCGAUCUCAGGCGUCGAUUAGUGGUGAACGUGAGCAGUCAAAGCUUUGAGACUGCCAUGUAUAAUGAAGCUACCUGACUUCUGAGUCUGACAGCUGACGCUUAAGAAAGGGAAUUUCAAAGAACUGUCUGCGCCCGGAGAAAGUUAUUUUGAAGUGUUUUCGGACGGGGGUUCAACACCCCCCAUCUCCACCA
This 351-nucleotide transfer-messenger RNA is filed under the name Oscillospiraceae bacterium. It matches the Rfam family "transfer-messenger RNA". Rfam says of the family: Bacterial tmRNA, also known as 10Sa RNA or SsrA, is named for its dual tRNA and mRNA-like properties. Lineage: Bacteria; Bacillati; Bacillota; Clostridia; Eubacteriales; Oscillospiraceae. The record is from RNAcentral.